AUACGGAAGGUCCGGGCGUUAUCCGGAUUUAUUGGGUUUAGAGGGAGCGCAGGCGGAGAUGCAAGCGUGACGUCAAAUUUCGGGGCUCAACCCCGUCUCGCGUCGCGAACUGCGUCCCUUGGUUGCGGGAAGGGGAGGCGGAACUCGUGGUGUAGCGGUGAAAUGCAUAGAUAUCACGAAGAACUCCGAUCGCGAAGGCAGCCUUCCGGCCCGUCAACGACGCUCAUGCUCGAAGGUGCGGGUAUCAAACAGGAUUAGAUACCCUGGUAGUCCGCACAGUAAACGAUGGACACCCGCGGUUUGGCCUGUAUGGCUGAGCCGCCAAGCGAAAGCGUUAAGUGUCCCACCUGGGGAGUACGCCGGCAACGGCGAAACUCAAAUGAAUUGACGGGG
RNAcentral lists this ribosomal RNA (393 nucleotides) under uncultured bacterium. RNAcentral's name for it is "partial 16S ribosomal RNA". It matches the Rfam family "Bacterial small subunit ribosomal RNA", at positions 523 to 918 of the family's 1533-position model. The record is from RNAcentral.